Nyctereutes procyonoides (raccoon dog) is the source of this 656-nucleotide long non-coding RNA. RefSeq lists it as uncharacterized. NCBI's taxonomy places the organism in Eukaryota, Metazoa, Chordata, Mammalia, Carnivora, Canidae. The transcript has 3 exons. The record is from RefSeq and is a predicted model, not a curated record.
CUCUCCCUCAAAUACUGAGAAAACUUAACUGCCUAGCAGUUGGGGUGUAGUACGGAAAACCAAAACUGCUUUAGAUAUUUCAGGUAGGAGAGACUUAACAGGAGGGAUUAGAAGUGUGCAUAACCUUUGGAUGCAUAAGUUGGAGUAAUCAAGAGUGCAUAAAAACUGCUGCUAACCUUCAGGAAAUGUUGACAGUCAGAAGGUUCCGGGAAACCUGGAUGCCACUGAGCUCAGCUGCCUGCCUUGCUGAAAGGUUGACUUGCAGGAGCUUGCCUGGGAGCCUCUGUAAACCUCACAUCCGCACACAGCUGCACUGAAGGAACAUGAUGGAGGAUAGGAAUUUCAGAGAAGUUGAAUAACUUGCCCAAGAUCGCACAGUCACUAAAGGGCUAAUUUAAAGCUGGACAGCCUGUCUCUAGAGCUCAUGCCCUUCGGAUGACAACACAUAGAAAACUCUGUGUCAAGGCAAGUCAGGAGCAGGAGGGACAACUUCAGAGAUCUGCAAAAGGACCUUGGUAAUUUAGGUGCCCAUAAUCAGCUCUAACUUCACGGGUUCCUGGAGCCCCCUCAGCCUCAAUUUGACCUCUCUUGAGGCCGUUUCCAUUUAAGAGGUGUAAAGGACAUUUCUUCUGGUGGAUUGCAACACUCAGGAGCGA